CCUACGGGUGGCAGCAGUGGGGAAUAUUGCACAAUGGGCGCAAGCCUGAUGCAGCGACGCCGCGUGGGGGAUGACGGCCUUCGGGUUGUAAACUCCUUUCGCCAGGGACGCGGUACCUGGAUAAGAAGCACCGGCUAACUACGUGCCAGCAGCCGCGGUAAUACGUAGGGUGCGAGCGUUGUCCGGAAUUACUGGGCGUAAAGAGCUCGUAGGUGGUUUGUCGCGUCGUUUGUGUAAUACCGCAGCUUAACUGCGGGGUUGCAGGCGAUACGGGCAAACUUGAGUGCUGUAGGGGAGACUGGAAUUCCUGGUGUAGCGGUGGAAUGCGCAGAUAUCAGGAGGAACACCGAUGGCGAAGGCAGGUCUCUGGGCAGUACUGACGCUGAGGAGCGAAAGCAUGGGUAGCGAACAGGAUUAGAUACCCUUGUAGUC
RNAcentral lists this ribosomal RNA (432 nucleotides) under uncultured bacterium. RNAcentral's name for it is "partial 16S ribosomal RNA". It matches the Rfam family "Bacterial small subunit ribosomal RNA", at positions 338 to 795 of the family's 1533-position model. The record is from RNAcentral.